RNAcentral lists this ribosomal RNA (406 nucleotides) under uncultured bacterium. RNAcentral's name for it is "partial 16S ribosomal RNA". It matches the Rfam family "Bacterial small subunit ribosomal RNA", at positions 30 to 526 of the family's 1533-position model. The record is from RNAcentral.
AUUGAACGCUGGCGGCAGGCCUAACACAUGCAAGUCGAACGAGUGGCGGACGGGUGAGUAAUGUCUGGGAAACUGCCCGAUGGAGGGGGGUAACUACUGGAAACGGUAGCUAAUACCGCAUACCAUCGGAUGUGCCCAGAUGGGAUUAGCUAGUAGGUGGGGUAACGGCUCACCUAGGCGACGAUCCCUAGCUGGUCUGAGAGGAUGACCAGCCACACUGGACCGGAGACACGGUCCAGACUCCUACGGGAGGCAGCAGUGGGGAAUAUUGCACAAUGGGCGCAAGCCUGAUGCAGCCAUGCCGCGUGUAUGAAGAAGGCCUUCGGGUUGUAAAGUACUUUCAGCGGGGAGGCGUUACCCGCAGAAGAAGCACCGGCUAACUCCGUGCCAGCAGCCGCGGUAAUUC